Molecule: long non-coding RNA, 679 nt
Organism: Leopardus geoffroyi (Geoffroy's cat)
Lineage: Eukaryota; Metazoa; Chordata; Mammalia; Carnivora; Felidae
Exons: 3
Source: RefSeq, a predicted model, not a curated record
UUAAAUUUAUUUCUAGAUAUUUUAGUCUUUUUGAUGCACUUAUAAAUGGGAUUAUUCUCUUAAAUUCUCUUUCUGAUAGUUCAUUGUUAGUAUACAAAAAUGCAGGAAUGGUGUGGAGGGUGGAGUGCUCACCUGCUGACACUUACAGGCUAGAGUAAGGAUAAAAAAACGACGUCCACGCACACCUGCAAUCAGCAAGGCAGAGGGAGAGUGUAAAGAUGGCUCCCGCCUGUGCCUCCGACCCAGAGAGAGUCCCAACAAGCUUCUGCACCUCCAGCAAGUGACUUAAGAUCCAGGACCUGCCUGCCUGUAUUCCCUUCCAGGCUGCCGAAUGCCAAGACCUGCUCCAGAUGAAGGCUGCUUUGGCCAACCAAGACUCAUCUGCCCCCAGGGGGUCACAUGGCCAAGCCAGAGGAGACAGCAAGAAGCCAAAUCAACUCUGGGCCAGGUGGAUUCCCCAUUUAAGAGUCAUUGAUGCUUUGCGGUAAAGACCAGAGCGUGGAGAGAGGUGCUGGUGCCGCCCUUUCAGGAGCUACUCGUCCUGCGGUGAGUACAACCUAUGCGUGUAUGAACAGAUCAAUUUGCAUGGUAUUAGUUAUUUAUUUUAUAGUAGUUAUUCCCUCAGUCGUGGUAUGCCCUACACCAUUAUUCGCCACUUGCCAAGUGACUUAAGAGCACG